RNAcentral lists this transfer RNA (70 nucleotides) under Camelus dromedarius (Arabian camel). It matches the Rfam family "tRNA". Rfam says of the family: Transfer RNA (tRNA) molecules are approximately 80 nucleotides in length. Their secondary structure includes four short double-helical elements and three loops (D, anti-codon, and T loops). Further hydrogen bonds mediate the characteristic L-shaped molecular structure. tRNAs have two regions of fundamental functional importance: the anti-codon, which is responsible for specific mRNA codon recognition, and the 3' end, to which the tRNAs corresponding amino acid is attached (by aminoacyl-tRNA synthetases). tRNAs cope with the degeneracy of the genetic code in two manners: having more than one tRNA (with a specific anti-codon) for a particular amino acid; and 'wobble' base-pairing, i.e. permitting non-standard base-pairing at the 3rd anti-codon position. The record is from Rfam by way of RNAcentral. Lineage: Eukaryota; Metazoa; Chordata; Mammalia; Artiodactyla; Camelidae. RNAcentral also lists the same sequence under 1 other name.
GGGUUAAUAGCUCAGUGGUAGAGCUUGUGCUUUGCAUGCGUAAGGUCCUGGGUUCUAUCCUCAGGACCUC